GGGCGAGGGCUACACACGUGCUACAAUGGCCAGUACAGAAGGUCGCCAACCCGCGAGGGGGAGCUAAUCCUACAAAGCUGGUCGUAGUCCGGAUCGCAGUCUGCAACUCGACUGCGUGAAGUCGGAAUCGCUAGUAAUCGCGAAUCAGCAUGUCGCGGUGAAUACGUUCCCGGGCCUU
Molecule: ribosomal RNA, 178 nt
Filed under: uncultured Gammaproteobacteria bacterium
Lineage: Bacteria; Pseudomonadati; Pseudomonadota; Gammaproteobacteria
Description: partial 16S ribosomal RNA
Rfam family: Bacterial small subunit ribosomal RNA
Source: RNAcentral